Molecule: long non-coding RNA, 1995 nt
Organism: Homo sapiens (human)
Lineage: Eukaryota; Metazoa; Chordata; Mammalia; Primates; Hominidae
Source: Ensembl
GGACAGUCUUACCCGGACGCCACGGUGAGGGAGGAGAAGCGCAGAGUCAGCCGCAGACGGGAGGGCGAUGGCCUAACCCGGACGCCAGCGCGGUUUGCUCAGCCCUAGGGCCGGGCGCUUUCCCGCUCCCUGACCGCCUCCUGUUCCUCCGCAGGCCGAGCUGCCCUUCCCUCCCUGCUGCCCCCAGGGAAGGCUGCUGGUGUCCUCAGAUGCGGGCAGGAGGAACCCGCCAGCGCCUGAGAGCCUGGCCCGAACCAGGCCUGGAGGUGCUGGGGCGAAGACACAGAGGAUGUGGCCUCCAUCCCUGGUAACAGACGGUUACCAGGGCGGCUUUGGGUGAGGACAUUGAAAAAGGUCAGACUCCCUGGGAGCAGCGCCCUGGACUCCAUUCUCAUCACAGACCAGUGGUUCCCAAUUGAAGUCAGUUUUGCUCCUCAGGGCACACUUAACAACAUCUGGAGACAUUUUUAAUUGUCCUGACCGAGAGGACAAUGCUACUGGCAUCUAGUGGACAGAGGCCAGGGAUACUGCUGAACAUCCCGCAGUGCACAGGACGCCUGCAACACAGAUUAUCCAGCCCCAAACGUCAAUAGUGCCGGAGUUAUGGAACCCUAAUGAAGACAAUUCUUGAAGGCAUAGACUGAAUCUUAUUUAUCUUUGUUUCCCUCAUGUCUCACAAGCAGAGUAUGAGUUCAGCAAAUAGGAGUUGAACAGAAAUCAGGAGGAGGUGCUGAUUGACAGGAAAAAAGAAAGAUUUAGUUUAGAGCUGAGAAUUCAGCUGGACAGCCAUAGGGGCUCUGGCAUGGAGACUGGAAGUCAGAAGAGAAUUUGCAGCAAGACAUUUAGAGCCAUUUAUCCAGCCAUCAUAAUUUUAUUGAGUAACUAUUUUGUGUGAGGCACUGUACUGGAUGCUUUGGCAACAGAGAUAAGCAAGGCAACCCCUGUGAAUAAGGCACUCCUGGUCUACACACAGUGGGAGAAACAUAGAAAUUCAUCUCUUCUGAGCGGAGCCUGUGGGAACCCAGAGGAUGGACACCCAGCGUGGUCUGAGGAAUCAUGGGCCAAAACAGGAGGCAUCAGGAGAGAUCUCUUGGGUAAAGAAGAGUGAGGGCUGGAAGGAUAUUCCAGGCAGUGGGAACAACUUACAUAAAGUGAGAAUAUUGCAAAUGCCUAGCGGGUCUGUAGUGAGAGGGUCAUGAGGCGGAGGAGUGAGGUGCGUAGCAAGGAAUAGCAGGUGGGGCCAGAGCAGUAAAAUUAACCAUUGUUCUAUUUGAAGAAGGGUAGGACGCAUUUUUAGGUUUUUUGGCUAUUUCUCCUUUUGGUAAUAGCAUCUAUUUUCUUUAGAGAAUUAUCUCUUCCCCCUCACUCCUCUCCUAGUGGAGGUACAGGCAUGAGAAAAAGCUAAACCAAUGACAUGUUCUCAAAUAUAACUUACAAUCCCAGGAGUCAUGAUGAAAUGGUUGAAAAAAAAAAUAGUUGAAGCUCACUAACCUUAGCAUCACAUUUCAAUGAGAUUGUCAAAUAAUUCUUGUUUCCCAGGCCCCCAGAGCUGCCGAGUUUCUGACUUCUCUAAGCCAGGUUCACAAGCCUUCCCUUCAAUUCUGUGAGGAUUUUUUUCCCCAUUUUUCCUGAAGUUACGUGGUCACUUUCUGUUACUUGCAACCAGAGUAACUUAAUUGAUAAAGUCAGUGAGGAAGGAAUAGAAUACAACAAAUGGCUUAAAAACAGAAGGCCAAGCGUGAUGGCUCAUUCCUGUAAUCCCAGCACUUUGUGAGGCCGAGGCAGGUGGAUUGCUUGAGCUCAGGAGUUCAAGACCAACCUGGGCAACAUGGCAAAACCCCAUCUCUACCAAAAAUACAAAAAAUUAGCCGGGCGUGGUGGCUCACACCUGUAGUCCCAAUUUCUCAGAAGGCUGAGGUGGGAGGAUCACUUGAACCCAGGAGGAGGAGGUUUCAGUCAGUAGAGAUUGAACUACUAUACUCUAGCCUGGAUGAC